This 430-nucleotide long non-coding RNA is filed under the name Sorghum bicolor (sorghum). RNAcentral describes it as "long non-coding RNA (SBIC_LNC011299)". Lineage: Eukaryota; Viridiplantae; Streptophyta; Magnoliopsida; Poales; Poaceae. The record is from RNAcentral.
AGGCUCAAAAGAUUCGUCUCGUAAAUUUCGAUCAAACUGUACAAAUAGUUUUUAGUUUUGUCUAUAUUUAAUACUUCAUGCAUGUGUCUAAAGAUUCGAUGUGAUUGGGAAUCUUGAAAAAUUUUGGGUUUUGAGAUAAAAGUAAACAAGGCCGUAAUUAACAGGCAGAUACAGGCGACCAGACCAGAUCCGGAUGCAGAGGCCAGUUCUAGCUUAUAGUAUACCUUAGCUCAUGGCACAACCUGUCUUAUUCUCUUGGUUGCUUCGGUGGCUAAACUAAUAAACUUAAUAAACUACUCUCGGUCGUGCGCUCUUAAUCAAUUUCUUUUCGGACAACUACUGCUUUUUGUAAUAUGUACUAUAUAGUAUACUAUAGACAAAAAUAUUAAUAAUAAAAAAAAGAAUAAAAUUUUCAGUAUAUCCGGCCCGC